This 377-nucleotide RNase P RNA is filed under the name Gemmatimonadota bacterium. RNAcentral's name for it is "Gemmatimonadetes bacterium RNase P RNA component class A". It matches the Rfam family "Bacterial RNase P class A". Rfam says of the family: Ribonuclease P (RNase P) is a ubiquitous endoribonuclease, found in archaea, bacteria and eukarya as well as chloroplasts and mitochondria. The record is from RNAcentral. Lineage: Bacteria; Pseudomonadati; Gemmatimonadota.
UCAGAUUUCCAGAGAGUCGCUGGUGUGAAACAUCACCAGAGGAAAGUCCGAACUCCGCAGGGCACGACGCCGGAUAACAUCCGGGCAGGGCGACCUGAUAGAUAGCGCCACAGAAAGCAAACCGCCGUUGCAAUGACAACGGUAAGGGUGAAACGGAGGUGUAAGAGACCCCCAGCAGUUCUGGUAACAGGGCUGGCUCGGUAAACCUCGUCGGGAGCAAGACCAAAUAGGAAGGUAGCGGUUGCCCGCCGCGCUUGACCUUCGGGUAGGUCGCAAGAGGUGCUUGGAGACAAGCAUCCCAGAUAAAUGACUCUCCAUUUUCAUUGACUUAGGUCAAUGAAAAUUGACAGAAUUCGGCUUACCGGAAAUCUGACGAU